AUAGAUUGCAGGCCAGCUGCUCUAACUCUCUCCCAUGCAAUUAAGAAAAAACUGGAAAGAUGAAGUAACUUGCCUAAGGAUCCAUAGGAAAAGAGUGCUAGAGCCAGAGUCGGGAAAACAGUUCUCGUGUCUACACUUCACCAGCUUUUAAGAAGUAAACGUGUUCCAGCUGUGAACAAUGACGAUAUUCAUCUUUUUAAGUCAAAACCCACUGGGUAAUAUUUAUUACCCUUUAAGUCAGUUUCAGUUUGCAUUGCCCCUGAUGGUCUUCUCCUUGGACACUAGGUAUGUAUUAAUCAUGAGGGCAGAUGAUUUUCCCAGGCUAAAUUUACUUGAAAGGGUAAGAAGCCUAAUAGACGGUCAUUAUCUAAAUUAAGGUGAUUCCGUGCUCCAGAAAAUCUCCCCAUAGAAGAAAAAUGUCAACAAGCUCAGGAGACUCUCCCUCAUAAAGUUAUUAAAACUAAACAAGCAUACACAACACCCACACACAAUCCAAUACAGAGGAGAUCUCCAACCCAGCUUCCCUGUCAAUACAAAAGAAAGCCAGUGGAGUUUUCUUCAGAAGCCUGGGGCUAGGAAGGGUGCAGAAGGACUGUGAGGGCAAUCCCCAACUGCUUUCACCGACUAAGGUGAGGAGAAAGGAAAGUCAUGACUGGGGGAAAAAAAAAAGAAGAAGAAGAAGGCAAGUUAACUAAGAGAGGCAACCAAUCUACGCUGAAGCUUCCAUAGUCCUGCUCUCUAGAGAAAACCAAAAAUUCACCACCCCGCUUGACGGAUUGGCAGGCAAGAGAAAGAGGGGAAACUUCACACACUCGCUUAGAGUUGUUGGACCCCUUUUCCAGUCCCCAUCUCAAGAAAAGAAGAAGGGGGCAGGGAGGAAUGGACGUGCCCUGAAAAGAAAAGAAAAAGGAGCCAACAUUGCAGCUAGCCUUGGGAAAAUCUCCACAGAUGAGCAUUUUUGUUGCGUUAAGUGGCCGGCAUUAGCAGCCUAAACACGUAGGGGAAGGCUAACAUCGCCGUUAAUAUAAUGCGGGAGAGGAAUGAUAGACCUGGGAGUAGAGAGUGGAAGCGCUAGUUUUGCAUAAAACAAAACAAAACAUUUCUGAGGACUUAAGCUCCUAGGGGGUUGGGUGGAGUGAAUUUAGGGAGCGCCUCAAUCCAUAGAGGAAGCAUGCACCGGGGCAUCAGUUUCAGAGGCUUAUUUUAAAAAUAUAUAUUUAUUUCAGCUGCCUUAAAAAAUAAUUUCACAGUCAGAAAAAUAGCUUCUUAGACCAUGGUUCUGAGGUCGUCUCUGGGAGGGAGAAGAAUCACCUCCGAGAUGUCUUUCAAACUCCAGCAUUGAGACUAAGAAUUGACAAGUAAGGAGGUUCUGGAAGUCAGAAUGAAAAUGGUCACCUCCAUCACCUUCACGAGGCUUCAUUUCUCUCACAUUUAGGGAGGUAGAUGAGAUACAGUUAGACGCACAUAGAGAUAGUGAGAGAGAGAGGGAAAGGGAGAAGGAGAGAGAGGAAAGAGAAAAGGGAAGAAAAAGCAGGGAAAGAAG
RNAcentral lists this long non-coding RNA (1543 nucleotides) under Homo sapiens (human). RNAcentral's name for it is "HSALNT0376017". The record is from RNAcentral. Lineage: Eukaryota; Metazoa; Chordata; Mammalia; Primates; Hominidae.